Solanum lycopersicum (tomato) is the source of this 344-nucleotide non-coding RNA. The record is from RefSeq and is a predicted model, not a curated record. Lineage: Eukaryota; Viridiplantae; Streptophyta; Magnoliopsida; Solanales; Solanaceae.
CUCACUUUUGGUGGAGAAGGAGAAGAACAGACUUUCAUAUGGAGGUAUGUCAUUUUCCGAGAGUAAGAGCAAGUUGAUGGAAAAUUAGAGGAGAGUGAAUACGAGUUUCGAGCUGGUGCGUCAAUUUGGUAAUGAAAUUUUAUAUUUGGCCAUGGCUAUCAAAAUUGGAGGUUCUCCAUCACUAUAAAUUGAGUGCAACUAAGACUGAAAGAGUGUGAAGUAUAAACUCACCAAAAACCUUGUGUAUAUGGUAUUAGGAAGAAUUCAAUGAAAAUACGGUUAAGACUAUGAAUAAUAUCCCUAAAGGUUAGUAUUACAUGUCAGCCGAUAGACACUUUUGGUGA